This 406-nucleotide ribosomal RNA is filed under the name uncultured bacterium. RNAcentral describes it as "partial 16S ribosomal RNA". It matches the Rfam family "Bacterial small subunit ribosomal RNA", at positions 30 to 526 of the family's 1533-position model. The record is from RNAcentral.
AUUGAACGCUGGCGGCAGGCCUAACACAUGCAAGUCGAACGAGUGGCGGACGGGUGAGUAAUGUCUGGGAAACUGCCCGAUGGAGGGGGAUAACUACUGGAAACGGUAGCUAAUACCGCAUACCAUCGGAUGUGCCCAGAUGGGAUUAGCUAGUAGGUGGGGUAACGGCUCACCUAGGCGACGAUCCCUAGCUGGUCUGAGAGGAUGACCAGCAAAACGGGAACUGAGACACGGUCCAGACUCCUACGGGAGGCAGCAGUAGGGAAUCUUCGGCAAUGGACGAAAGUCUGACCGAGCAACGCCGCGUGAGUGAAGAAGGUUUUCGGGUUGUAAAGUACUUUCAGCGAGGAGGCGUUACUCGCAGAAGAAGCACCGGCUAACUCCGUGCCAGCAGCCGCGGUAAUUC